This is a long non-coding RNA of Juglans microcarpa x Juglans regia, 1273 nucleotides long. RefSeq lists it as uncharacterized. The record is from RefSeq and is a predicted model, not a curated record. The transcript has 3 exons. NCBI's taxonomy places the organism in Eukaryota, Viridiplantae, Streptophyta, Magnoliopsida, Fagales, Juglandaceae.
CACAAGAGCAUAAAAGGCAAGAGAGAUAGAAGGUCUACAAAUGCAACAAGAAAUGGUUCAAAAGCAAUUGGAGCAGCAUCAACAGGCAAUCAAUGGUAUUUCAGAAAGGUUAGAUCAACUUACUAACAUGUUACGUUCUGUUGUUGAAUCUAAUCAUGUUAAUUCUCAUGAAGCUCGUGGGGGAAUUGUGAGGAUAAAAGUGUAGUUUGUAGAGGGUUGUGUUUGGAUUUUCCACGUUUUAAUGGCACUGAUCCUAAUGGGUGGGUUUUUAAGGCCACUUAGUAUUUCGAUUACCAUCAAACACCAUUUCAUUAGAAGUUGUUAGUGGCUUCUUAUCAUAUGGAAGGGGAGGCGUUGAUAUGGUACCAAGAAGGCUUGGAUUCUGGCCAAUUUAAUUCAUGGGAGUCCUUGAUUUUGGCUUUACAAGUGAGGUUUGGGCCAUCAGCAUAUGAUGACCCAAUGGAGGCUUUGAUGAAAUUGAAGCAGACUUCUUCUAUCACUUUGUACAAGUCACAAUUUGAAGUUUUGUCUAAUCGAUUAAAAGGACUAUCUGAAAAAUAUAAACUUAGAUGUUUUCUGAGUGGGUUAAAAGAUGAAGUCAGAUUACCAGUUAAAAAUGUUUAAUCCUGUCAAUCUUGGGGCUGCUUUUGGAUUGGCAAAGAUCCAAGAGGAGUAUGUUUUAUCCUCGAGAAGGCCUUGGAAGUAUAAUCUGAAUCUUGGUGAGAAAGGGGUUAUUGAUAAUGCAGUAGAAGUUUCUAAUAGAGGGCCAAGGGAUCAGGUUCUAGCUAAGAGAGUUCUUUACAAAUGGAUGAAAAAAGAAAAAAAGGACUUUGUUAUCACUGUGAUGAGAAAGGGAACCCCAAUCACAUUUGUAAAAAUCAAAAGGUUUAUUUGUUGCAUGUGGAUAGCAGUGUAGAGAAUGAAGAUAAACAAGUGGAUGGAGAGUUGGUACUAGAAGUGAAUUCAGUUCUUGAAAAAGAGUUUGAAGAGCUUGAGGUUUCCAUUAAUGCUAUUUAUGGUUGUACUAACAAUAAUGCAAUGAAGUUGUUGGGCAAGAUUGGUUCAUUUUCUAUUGAAAUCUUGGUGGAUUCAGGAAGUACUCAUAACUUCUUGGAUCCAUUGGUUGUAGAGGCAACAAAGUUGAAGGUAAUCAAAGAUGUGGGUCUUCAAGUGAAGGUGGCUAAUGGUGCUAAAAUACUUAGCCAAGGCAGAUGUGAAGAAAAUAUCAGCAUUCAAGGUACCAAGUUUUUGGUUCCUUUUCAUGUAUUGAAUC